Long non-coding RNA from Drosophila nasuta, 1130 nucleotides. RefSeq lists it as uncharacterized. The transcript is spliced from 2 exons. The record is from RefSeq and is a predicted model, not a curated record. Lineage: Eukaryota; Metazoa; Arthropoda; Insecta; Diptera; Drosophilidae.
AAAUUAAAUUUCGACUACUGGUUUUUAGUGUUAGGUUAUCGAUAGUUUAAAGAAUAAUGUGGUAUUUCAAUGACUAUUGUGACAGUCACAGUCACAUCCUACAGUAUUUAAGCAGAUGCUUGAAAAAUGCACGAUCUUGUAGAGAAUUAGAAAUAAAAUUCUCUCAUAUUACGGAUUCCAUUAUAAUGAAUUUUCACACAGAAUAAAUCCUCCACUAUUGCGGAUUCCUAAGCAUCUUUUAAUUCUGUCGGCGACAAAUUGAUUAGGAAGUUUAAGUAGACUGUUAGUGCCGGGUGAUGCACUAUUUUACCUCAGCAAGAGAGUUGCUAAUUCUUGAUUGCCUUGUACGACUAAUUGUUGAGAAUGUCAACUCAGCACUUCCCCAGGAAAACAAGAAGUCAGUAAACUCGAUCUGCCGGUUACUUUGCGAAACGCACCAGUGCCGACUAUGGUUCUCGGAUCUGAUCCAUUUGAGCAACCCGACGCUAAUGGAGGAAUUGUCCGCAAAGCUGCCACCAGGGAGAAGAACUGAGUGGGCAUGGCAUGCCAGCACUCUGCAAGUUUAUCCGACUGUAACGCAUGGCUCAAUUGAAGGGUAAAUACGUAUGCAUUCUUCGACGAAGGUUCAUCCGUCUCGAUGAUCGAUGAGAGGGCUGAAGCUAACUGGAGAGCGGCGGCAGCUGAAUAAAUAUUGGUUUGGCCUUAGAUUUGCCAGUAAACCCGCAACAUUAGUUAAUCUACAAAUCAGCGGAGCGGGAAAACGCCAUCGUUACGAUUCGCAGAACGUACAAGCAGUGCGGAGCCUAAGCCUGCCGAUGCAUCGAAAAAGAUUGGCGACGAGUUGGGCCAAUAGAGAGUAGACUUCUCGUUGGAAAUGAACCCUAUGCAUCGGCCUACAAGCUGGGGUGGCUGGUCUUUGGUCCAACAAAGGAUUGCAGAGGAUUACCAUCUUACUGUGCUGCAGGAUGACACAGUAUAAAAGUUGGUAACCGAGUGGAGAAUUUUGGCGUGAAGCUCGCAUCGGCCGUUGCAACCAGCUCGAACACCAGAUCGCAAUCGAUUCUCGAAAAUAUCACUGUGAGAUUCAAACAGAGAUAAUAGAUAGUACUCUUAUGGCCUAGCGUACAGGC